AGGAACAUGUGGUUUAAUUCGAUGAUACGCGAGGAACCUUACCUGGGCUUAAAUGGGGAGUGACAGCUGUCGAAAGAUGGUUUUCUUCGGACACUCUUCAAGGUGCUGCAUGGUUGUCGUCAGCUCGUGCCGUGAGGUGUCGGGUUAAGUCCCAUAACGAGCGCAACCCUUACCGUUAGUUACCAUCAGGUUAAGCUGGGGACUCUAGCGGGACUGCCACCGUAAGGUGAGAGGAAGUGGGGAUGACGUCAAAUCAGCACGGCCCUUAUGUCCAGGGCUACACACGUGUUACAAUGGCCAGUACAAAGGGCAGCUACCGGGUGACCGGAUGCUAAUCUCUAAAGCUGGUCUCAGUUCGGAUCGAAGUCUGCAACCCGACUUCGUGAAGCUGGAUUCGCUAGUAAUCGCGCAUCAGCCAUGGCGCGGUGAAUACGUUCCCGGGCCUU
RNAcentral lists this ribosomal RNA (446 nucleotides) under uncultured Sphingobacteriales bacterium. RNAcentral's name for it is "bacterial SSU rRNA". It matches the Rfam family "Bacterial small subunit ribosomal RNA", at positions 933 to 1382 of the family's 1533-position model. Lineage: Bacteria; Pseudomonadati; Bacteroidota; Sphingobacteriia; Sphingobacteriales. The record is from RNAcentral.